GUUAAUUAUUAAACAUGUAACGUUUUUAUUAUUUUUUAACUGUUAAAUUUAAUUAGGUAUUGGCUAUCUAUAUAUCUGUAUAAAUUUAUAAAUUUUCAUGUCCUUAAGCUGAUGUGGCCCAACCCCUUUAAGGCUUAGUUUGGUAUUUAGGUCCAUCUAAUGCUAUCUAUCUAUUACUAUAUACUAAAGUAGAACCCUUAAUGAACCCUAUGUGAGAAGCUGACACGUGGCGCUCUAUAUGCUUGCCACGUGUCAAGCUUAAAUAUAGAUUUUCUACUUUAGAAAAAAUAAAAUUAGACUUUUUAAGUAAAUAAUAUCUUUUACUAUAUAAAAAAUCACCUAUAAUGAAAGAAAUUUUAUUUAAAAGUCACCUAUAAUUAUGUUGUGCGGAUAUUACUACUUUAGGAAAUCUAUUCUAUUUGGUAAGUGGAUUAAUGAAAUAUUUGAAAAAUUCACGGAUAUUACGUUGCGAAAAAAUUGGCGUGUACGGAUACUACGCAUGAGAAGAAAAAUAUUUAUCUUUAUUUGAGAAUAAAUUAUUACUUAAUUAAUUAUUUGAAAUUAUUGGUUGAAAAGUAGUGGGCAUAAAAAUAUUAGUAAGAAAGGAUAGAAAAAAUUCACGGAUAUUACGUUGCGAAAAAAUUGGCGUGUACGGAUACUACGCAUGAGAAGAAAAAUAUUUAUCUUUAUUUGAGAAUAAAUUAUUACUUAAUUAAUUAUUUGAAAUUAUUGGUUGAAAAGUAGUGGGCAUAAAAAUAUUAGUAAGAAAGGAUAGAAAAAAUUCACGGAUAUUACGUUGCGAAAAAAUUGGCGUGUACGGAUACUACGCAUGAGAAGAAAAAUAUUUAUCUUUAUUUGAGAAUAAAUUAUUACUUAAUUAAUUAUUUGAAAUUNUCUCAUUAUAUACUUAAAUAUUAAUGUCAUUUGUAAUUUUUCAUAUCAAUUUUAGUUAUCAUUUUGUUUUGCACACCAAUAUGUAAAUGUAAAUUAUUUUGCACACCAAUUCAUAGAUAAUAGAGCAGGAUUGAAUUUUGCAUUUUAGUUGGAUAUUUACUUUGGUCCAAAUUUUUUUUUUCUCUAGCUUGUGUAUUUUAAUAUGUACUAUAAUUAAGAUUGAUAGUAUAUUUUUUAUUUAUUAAAAAAAAUAAAAUUAAUUAAAAAAUCUUUUUAUUAUCAUCACAUAAUAAUUUUUAUUAUUCUAUAUUAUUAUAUUAGCCGUGCAUCGCACGGGUAAAAAUCUAGUUAGAUAAAAUGGAGGUAGGAAAAAGCAUAUAGGGAUAUGCUUCUGCGUUUUUCAGUGGGAACGUAGAAAAUAUAUCAUAACCGACUCAUCAUAAUAUGCGGAAUGCAAUAUUAUGUACGGAAACAAACAGGGUAUUUUCUCAUCGUACUUUCUCACCACACGUAACGCAAUCUCUCCGCAAUCCCAAACGAAGCAUAAUUUGGAGAUGUGGGUCCCAUCAAUUUUUUUAUUUUUAAAAAAUUAAUUGAUUUUUUUUUUCAUUAAUUUUUUCUAAGGAUGGAUAGUCAUCCCUUUAAUUUGGGGAUGUGGCCCCACUACCCCUUAAAUUAAGGGUAUAGGCCCCACCAAUUUUUUAUUUUUUUAAAAUUAAUUAGAUUUUUUUAAAAAAAUUUUCUGAUUAAUUUGGGGAUGCCCACUUAAAAAAUGGGCAAUCAUCUCUCCUUAAUUGAGGGUGUUGGAUUGUUAUUUUUUUAAUUCAGGGAUAUAAGCCCUACCAAGAAGAUGAACCAUCUGUUAGGUCCUAUGUGUUGGCAAGUUUCGUGGGUCGUGUCGGAGUCUUGAAGAAGUUCGGAGCGGAGUAUUGAAAAUCGAAGAAUCCAAGACUUC
This 1849-nucleotide long non-coding RNA is filed under the name Ananas comosus (pineapple). Its description in RNAcentral is "long non-coding RNA (ACOM_LNC018188)". The record is from RNAcentral. Lineage: Eukaryota; Viridiplantae; Streptophyta; Magnoliopsida; Poales; Bromeliaceae.